RNAcentral lists this ribosomal RNA (432 nucleotides) under uncultured bacterium. RNAcentral describes it as "partial 16S ribosomal RNA". It matches the Rfam family "Bacterial small subunit ribosomal RNA", at positions 338 to 795 of the family's 1533-position model. The record is from RNAcentral.
UCUACGGGAGGCAGCAGUGGGGAAUAUUGGACAAUGGGGGCAACCCUGAUCCAGCCAUGCCGCGUGAGUGAUGAAGGCCUUCGGGUUGUAAAGCUCUUUUGGCGGGGACGACGUACCCGCAGAAUAAGCCCCGGCUAACUUCGUGCCAGCAGCCGCGGUAAGACGAAGGGGGCUAGCGUUGUUCGGAAUUACUGGGCGUAAAGCGUGUGUAGGUGGUUGUCCAAGUUGGAGGUGAAAGCCUUGAGCUCAACUCAAGAAAUGCAUUCAGGACUGGGUGACUAGAGGACCGGAGAGGAUAGUGGAAUGCCCAGUGUAGUGGUUAAAUACGUAGAGAUUGGGAAGAACACCAGUGGCGAAGGCGGCUAACUGGACGGUUCUGACACUAAGACACGAAAGCGUGGGGAGCAAACAGGAUUAGAUACCCUUGUAGUC